CUUGGUCAUUUAGAGGAAGUAAAAGUCGUAACAAGGUUUCCGUAGGUGAACCUGCGGAAGGAUCAUUAUCGAAAUAAGAAAAGGCGAUGGAGCUGUCGCUGGCCCUUGGCCGUGCACGCUCGUCGUCCCCUCAUUUCUCCAUCUCUUUGUGCAUCGCUUGUGUAGAUCAUUAGGACUGCUUUGCGAAUGGGGGAGACCCUUUUGGUGGGGCUUUCCUUGGAUCUACGUCCUCUUCACAUGCUCCAGUGUAAUAUUAGGAAGGAAAUUUAUGAAAUUGUUAUACAACUUUCAGCAACGGAUCUCUUGGCUCUCGCAUCGAUGAAGAACGCAGCGAAAUGCGAUAAGUAAUGUGAAUUGCAGAAUUCAGUGAAUCAUCGAAUCUUUGAACGCAUCUUGCGCUCCUUGGUAUUCUGAGGAGCAUGCCUGUUUGAGGGUCAUUAAUAUAUCUCGACCACACCUGCGUGUGUGGCUCGGACUUGGGGGGAUGGUGCAGGCUCCAGCUCUGUGGUCUGCUCCCCUGAAAUGCAUUGGCGGUUUUUUUAUGACCUCUGCUCUGGGUGUGAUAAUCUAUCUGCAUCCAAGCGAGUCGUGCUGCCAUCGUGUGGCCCCUUUUGUUCUUGACCUCAAAUCAGGUAGGACCACCCGCUGAACUUAAGCAUAUCAAUAAGCGGAGGA
This 675-nucleotide ribosomal RNA is filed under the name uncultured Inocybe. RNAcentral's name for it is "eukaryotic LSU rRNA". The stretch from base 284 to 437 matches the Rfam family "5.8S ribosomal RNA". The record is from RNAcentral. Lineage: Eukaryota; Fungi; Basidiomycota; Agaricomycetes; Agaricales; Cortinariaceae.